AGUGAACGCUGGCGGUAGGCCUAACACAUGCAAGUCGAACGGCAGCACAGUAAGAGCUUGCUCUUACGGGUGGCGAGUGGCGGACGGGUGAGGAAUACAUCGGAAUCUACUUUUUCGUGGGGGAUAACGUAGGGAAACUUACGCUAAUACCGCAUACGACCUACGGGUGAAAGCAGGGGAUCUUCGGACCUUGCGCGAUUGAAUGAGCCGAUGUCGGAUUAGCUAGUUGGCGGGGUAAAGGCCCACCAAGGCGACGAUCCGUAGCUGGUCUGAGAGGGUGAUCAGCCACACUGGAACUGAGACACGGUCCAGACUCCUACGGGAGGCAGCAGUGGGGAAUAUUGGACAAUGGGCGCAAGCCUGAUCCAGCCAUACCGCGUGGGUGAAGAAGGCCUUCGGGUUGUAGAGCCCUUUUGUUGGGAAAGAAAAGCAGCAGGUUAAUACCCCGCUGUUCUGACGGUACCCAAAGAAUAAGCACCGGCUAACUUCGUG
This 492-nucleotide ribosomal RNA is filed under the name uncultured bacterium. RNAcentral describes it as "partial 16S ribosomal RNA". It matches the Rfam family "Bacterial small subunit ribosomal RNA", at positions 29 to 507 of the family's 1533-position model. The record is from RNAcentral.